Molecule: ribosomal RNA, 264 nt
Filed under: Geotoga petraea
Lineage: Bacteria; Thermotogati; Thermotogota; Thermotogae; Petrotogales; Petrotogaceae
Description: partial 16S rRNA. Bacterial SSU
Rfam family: Bacterial small subunit ribosomal RNA
Source: RNAcentral
CUGGAAGAAGGGUUUGAUCCUGGCUCAGGGUGAACGCUGGCGGCGCGCCUAACACAUGCAAGUCGAACGGAGAAAGGGGAGCUUGCUCCUUGAGUAUCAGUGGCGAACGGGUGAGUAAUACGUAGGGACCUACCUCACGGACAGGGAUAGCUACUGGAAACGGUAGGUAAGACCGGAUAAUAUCGAGAGAUAAAAGCAGAGAAGCGCCGGGAGAGGGGCCUACGACCCAUCAGGUAGUUGGUAGGGUAAAAGCCUACCAAGCCG